UUUGUAUUUGCAGUACGAAAGAUCAAAGAUAGCCUCUUCAUGAAAGCUAUUGUUUGGGGAUGAGCCCGCGUACCAUUAGCUUGUUGUGGGGUAAUGGCCUACCAAGGCGACGAUGGUUAGCUGGUCUGAGAGGAUGAUCAGCCACACUGGAACUGGAACACGGUCCAGACUCCUACGGGAGGCAGCAGUGAGGAAUUUUUGCGCAAUGGGCGAAAGCCUGACGCAGCAACGCCGCGUGAGUGAUGAAGGAUUUCGGUUCGUAAAGCUCUGUCAAGUGGGAAGAAGUUAUCAUAUGUUAAUAGCAUAUGGUAUUGACGGUACCACUGAAGGAAGCACCGGCUAACUCCGUG
Molecule: ribosomal RNA, 350 nt
Filed under: uncultured bacterium
Lineage: Bacteria
Description: bacterial SSU rRNA
Rfam family: Bacterial small subunit ribosomal RNA
Source: RNAcentral